AUUGAACGCUGGCGGCAGGCCUAACACAUGCAAGUCGGACGGUAGCACAGAGAGCUUGCUCUUGGGUGACGAGUGGCGGACGGGUGAGUAAUGUCUGGGGAUCUGCCCGAUAGAGGGGGAUAACCACUGGAAACGGUGGCUAAUACCGCAUAACGUCGCAAGACCAAAGAGGGGGACCUUCGGGCCUCUCACUAUCGGAUGAACCCGGAUGGGAUUAGCUAGUAGGCGGGGUUAUGGCCCACCUAGGCGACGAUCCCUAGCUGGUCUGAGAGGAUGACCAGCCACACUGGAACUGAGACACGGUCUAGACUCCUACGGGAGGCAGCAGUGGGGAAUAUUGCACAAUGGGCGCAAGCCUGAUGCAGCCAUGCCGCGUGUAUGAAGAAGGCCUUCGGGUUGUAAAGUACUUUCAGCGGGGAGGAAGGCGGCAAGGUUAAUAACCUUGCCGAUUGACGUUACCCGCAGAAGAAGCACCGGCUAACUCCGUGCCAGCAGCCGCCGUAA
RNAcentral lists this ribosomal RNA (504 nucleotides) under uncultured bacterium. RNAcentral describes it as "partial 16S ribosomal RNA". It matches the Rfam family "Bacterial small subunit ribosomal RNA", at positions 30 to 523 of the family's 1533-position model. The record is from RNAcentral.